GUGCUGAUACGUAUGUUCACGUAGUUGCCAACAUCUGGUUAGAAUUUCAUGUCAAUAAAAUUCUAAGAAACAUAUUUACUUAGAAAACUGUUGACAUGUUCAAUAUUUAUUUUACCUGCUGUAAAUACCGAAAGAACGCACUUCAGAUAUUUAAACAGAGAAUCCAUCCAGGAAGGAAAAUGGUUCAAUGGCCUACACUCUACAUUUUUGAAAAAAAAAACAAACAAACUGUAAAAAACUGUGGACUUUACGGAGCCCCGCAGGGGACAUGGGAGAAAAAAAAAUUAAGACGGACUUUUGCGAGAUCUCGCAAAAGUCCGUCUUAAUUUUUAGUCGCAAAACAAACUCGGGAUCUCGCAAAACUUUUGCGAGAUCUCGCAAAAGUUGAAUUCCAACAAUGGCGGCAGCUACUUAGUUGUAAUAUUACUCUUUCUGGGUCACAAAAUACACUUUUAAGAUAUUUUGAGGCGUGAAUGUAGUUGUGUAAACGUCAGAUACCUGCUCGGUUAACAAGACAUCACAUAUUUGCAAAAGUGCUCCGACGUUUUUGGAGAUCUGACACCCACUAUCUCGAAGCUAACGGGAGGUUGAGACCUACUACAGCCGGGAGGAACACCACUUUCCCGGCACAUCGUGCCUCGACCUCCCGGUCGGCUUUGAGCUGGCAGCCUCUGAAGAAUGCGGCUAAAACUUAGCCCUGGGGGGCUCCGUAGGACUUUGAAAACUGACUAAAAUAAAAGUAUAAGGGAAAUAUCCUUAAUUUUAUAAUCUGUUAAUUUAGUAAAAUGCAUUUCCAACUUGCCUGAUGAGGCACUGCUAGGCUUGAUUAUUGUGAGUCAGGAUCUCUACAAGCCUGUGAGUCAACUGUUUUAAAGAAGCAUGUGUUUUUUUGUAAUACCUGUACUUGUUUGACCAAAUUUUUCCUCUGACAUAAAACUUCCAUAUCGUAAUAUUUGAAAAAAGAAAACAAGAAUAAACUAAAACUGGUACUGAAACUAAUAAAAACUAAAAAAAAAAACUUAAAAAAACCUAAACAUUUUUAAGCAAUAAAAAGUACAGUUCAAACUAGAAUAUCUAUCCCUGGAAAUUAACUGAAAAUAAAAUGAACUAAAAAAAAUGUCAGUACGAAAUUAAGAAAAAGUACUCCGAAAAUACAAAAUCAUAAUAACUAAUAAUUGUCAGUCUGUCGCAGGGCUAACACAUUGAGAUAGACAACAAUUCACACUUACAGCCAGUUUAAAUUCACUAAACAGAGAACACACACAGAGAGGCCCGAGCCUGGCUUUGAGCCCAGAACCUGUGCUGAUCACCACGCUACAAUCAUCAGCCGCUUCUGUUCCAAAGAAACUAAACAAAAGCAUUGUGAUGAGAAGCCAUGAUUAAAAGGUACAUACAGUAAUGACUAAUGAUUUUAAUUUGUUAUUGUGUUGCACAGAAUACAUCAAGCCCAGCCCAAACAGGCUUUCAAGACCCCCCGCAACCAGAAAUCACAGCCAGAGUAGCACCUGUGCCAAGAUGUUAACUGAAGUCAGCUAUGAGGUGGGGCCUCCA
This is a long non-coding RNA of Astatotilapia calliptera (eastern happy), 1551 nucleotides long. The record is from Ensembl. Lineage: Eukaryota; Metazoa; Chordata; Actinopteri; Cichliformes; Cichlidae.